RNAcentral lists this ribosomal RNA (406 nucleotides) under uncultured bacterium. RNAcentral describes it as "partial 16S ribosomal RNA". It matches the Rfam family "Bacterial small subunit ribosomal RNA", at positions 30 to 526 of the family's 1533-position model. The record is from RNAcentral.
AUUGAACGCUGGCGGCAGGCCUAACACAUGCAAGUCGAACGAGUGGCGGACGGGUGAGUAAUGUCUGGGAAACUGCCUGAUAGAGGGGGAUAACUACUGGAAACGGUAGCUAAUACCGCAUACUAUCGGAUGUGCCCAGAUGGGAUUGGCUAGUUGGUGGGGUAAAGGCUCACCUAGGCGACGAUCCCUCGCUGGUCUGAGAGGAUGACCAGCCACACGGGAACUGAGACACGGUCCAGACUCCUACGGGAGGCAGCAGUGGGGAAUUUUGCACAAUGGGGGCAAGCCUGAUGCAGCCAUUCCGCGUGGAUGAAGAAGGCCUUCGGGUUGUAAAGUACUUUCAGCAGGGAGGCGUUACCCGCAGAAGAAGCACCGGCUAACUCCGUGCCAGCAGCCGCGGUAAUAC